CACCGCGGUUAUACGAGAGGCCCAAGUUGAUAAGGCCCGGCGUAAAGAGUGGUUAUGGACAAACACUAAAACUAAGGCCAAACACCCCCAAUGCUGUUAUACGUACCCGGGGGUAGGAAGCGCAACCACGAAAGUGGCCUUACAUUUCCUGAGCCCACGAAAGCUAUGACA
Molecule: ribosomal RNA, 171 nt
Filed under: Polylepion russelli
Lineage: Eukaryota; Metazoa; Chordata; Actinopteri; Labriformes; Labridae
Description: partial small subunit ribosomal RNA
Source: RNAcentral